RNAcentral lists this ribosomal RNA (493 nucleotides) under uncultured bacterium. RNAcentral describes it as "bacterial SSU rRNA". It matches the Rfam family "Bacterial small subunit ribosomal RNA", at positions 15 to 507 of the family's 1533-position model. The record is from RNAcentral.
GAUCCUGGCUCAGAUUGAACGCUGGCGGAAUGCUUUACACAUGCAAGUCGAACGGUAGAGGGGGCAACCCCUUGAGAGUGGCGAACGGGUGAGUAAUAUAUCGGAACGUGCCCAGUCGUGGGGGAUAACGUAGCGAAAGCUACGCUAAUACCGCAUACGAUCUACGGAUGAAAGCGGGGGAUCGCAAGACCUCGCGCGAUUGGAGCGGCCGAUAUCAGAUUAGGUAGUUGGUGAGGUAAAGGCUCACCAAGCCGACGAUCUGUAGCUGGUCUGAGAGGACGACCAGCCACACUGGGACUGAGACACGGCCCAGACUCCUACGGGAGGCAGCAGUGGGGAAUUUUGGACAAUGGGCGCAAGCCCGAUCCAGCAAUGCCGCGUGCAGGAUGAAGGCCUUCGGGUUGUAAACUGCUUCUGUACGGAACGAAACGGUGAGCUCUAAUACAGUUUGCUAAUGACGGUACCGUAAGAAUAAGCACCGGCUAACUACGUG